Molecule: ribosomal RNA, 505 nt
Filed under: uncultured bacterium
Lineage: Bacteria
Description: partial 16S ribosomal RNA
Rfam family: Bacterial small subunit ribosomal RNA
Source: RNAcentral
GACGAACGCUGGCGGCGUGCCUAAUACAUGCAAGUAGAACGCACAGUUUAUACCGUAGCUUGCUACACCAUAGACUGUGAGUUGCGAACGGGUGAGUAACGCGUAGGUAACCUGCCUGGUAGCGGGGGAUAACUAUUGGAAACGAUAGCUAAUACCGCAUAAUAUUAAUUAUUGCAUGAUAAUUAAUUGAAAGGUGCAAUUGCACCACUACCAGAUGGACCUGCGUUGUAUUAGCUAGUAGGUGAGGUAACGGCUCACCUAGGCGACGAUACAUAGCCGACCUGAGAGGGUGCUCGGCCACACUGGGACUGAGACACGGCCCAGACUCCUACGGGAGGCAGCAGUAGGGAAUCUUCGGCAAUGGACGAAAGUCUGACCGAGCAACGCCGCGUGAGUGAAGAAGGUUUUCGGAUCGUAAAGCUCUGUUGUAAGAGAAGAACGGGUGUGAGAGUGGAAAGUUCACACUGUGACGGUAUCUUACCAGAAAGGGACGGCUAAUUACGUG